Molecule: long non-coding RNA, 267 nt
Filed under: Olea europaea (common olive)
Lineage: Eukaryota; Viridiplantae; Streptophyta; Magnoliopsida; Lamiales; Oleaceae
Description: long non-coding RNA (OEUR_LNC002572)
Source: RNAcentral
GGAGAUCUUAUUGAGGCGACAGAAUACAUGGCCACUUCCCACUACCGAGUGGCAUCAGAUUGAGCUUACACCGUCUAUAGCAAUCCUGUGGCUGUUUAUGUGCCACAACAUUGAGCCUACCUCUCACAGGACCACAUUCACAGAUCCCACAGCUGGAUUCCUUUAUCACUUGGUGCGAGGUAAUAAGGUUGAUCUUGCCACUCUUUGCUAUGAUCAGAUACAUCAUGUGGGUACUUUGGGAGAUAGACACAGCUCAAUGAUCUUCCC